AGAGUGCAUGGGGGAUGUCUUGGUGUCGAGAGGCGAUGAAGGACGCGGCAGACUGCGAAAAGUUCGGGGCAGAAGUCUAGCAUUCGUUAAUCCCGAAGUGUCCGAAUGGGGAAACCCGUCGCCGGCGGGCAACCGACCGGCGUCAUCCAUGGCUGAAUGCAUAGGCCAUGAGAAGCCAACGCAGGGAACUGAAACAUCUAAGUACCUGCAGGAAAGGAAAUCAACCGAGACUCCGUCAGUAGCGGCGAGCGAAAGCGGAAUAGCCCAAACCGAUCUUCGGAUCGGGGUUGCGGGCGUCAAUCAGGAGUUACAAAGGCAGCACCAGAUGAACGGUCUGGAAAGUCCGACCACAGAAGGUGAAAGUCCUGUAGUCAAAAGUGACUGCCCUCCGUUACGAUUGGCGUACCAGAGUAGCACGGAGCUCGUGGAACUCCGUGUGAAGCUGGGGGGCCCACCCUCCAAGGCUAAGUACUCCUCGACAACCGAUAGUGAAAAGUAGCGCGAGCGAACGAUGAAAAGAACCCUUACUAAGGGAGUUAAAAGUACCUGAAACCAUGCACUUACACAGCUGUAGGAGCCCUAUGUCCCGCACUUACUUUGCACCGGGUUGCGUGAUGCGCAUUGCCUGAAGGCCGUUUUUUCGGUCGGAUUGGCGAUGUGUGCGGCCGGGUUCAAAGUAAGUGCGGGAAACGGGUGACUGCGUGCCUUUUGCAUAAUGAGCCGGCGAGUUACCGUCUGUGGCAAGGUUAAGCAUUUCCGAUGCGAAGCCGUAGCGAAAGCGAGUCUGAAUAGGGCGAUUCAGUCGCAGGUGGUAGACGCGAAACCAAGUGAUCUACCCAUGGCCAGGUGGAAGGGGAUGUAAAAAUCCCUGGACGACCGAACCCACUAACGUUGAAAAGUUAGGGGAUGAGCUGUGGGGAGGAGUAAAAGUCUAAUCAAACUUGGAGAUAGCUCGUUCUCUUCGAAAUAGCUUUAGGGCUAGCCUUGAGUAACUACCUUAUGGGGGUAGAGCUACUGAUUGGGGAUAGGGGGCCACCAGCCUACCUACUCCUACCAAACUCCGAAUACCAUAAGGCCUAUCUCAGGAGUCAGACUGCGGGGGAUAACCUCCGUGGUCAAAAGGGAAACAACCCAGAUCGCCAGCUAAGGUCCCGAAUUUCUGCUUAGUUAGAAAGGAAGUCCAAUUGCUGUGACAAUCAGGAUGUUGGCUUAGAAGCAGCCACCAUUUAAAAAGUGCGUAAUAGCUUACUGAUCGAGCAGUUGGGUGCCGAUAAUGACCGGGAAUAAGCAGAAAACCGAAGCUGCGGGCGCUGCAAGCAAUUGCGGCGCGGUAGGAGAGCGUAACAGUCCGCGCUGAAGCGGUACGGCAACGAGCCGUGGAGCGACUGUUAGUGAUUAUGCCGGCAUGAGUAACGAUAAAACAGGUGAGAAUCCUGUUCGCCGAAAACCUAAGGUUUCCUGGGGAAGGUAAAUCCGCCCAGGGUUAGUCGGCCCCUUAGUCGAGGCUGAAAGGCGUAGACGAUGGGCAGCAGGUUAAUAUUCCUGCACCACGUUGGCGGACGUAAGCAGUGACGCAUUUUUUAAGGUCAUCCCGUGAGUAGUCGUGCGGGUCCCGCAAGGGCGAGGCCGCUUUUGAUGCCGAAGUGACCGGCGAAGAUGCCGAGAAAUAGCUGCUGUAGGUUGAAGUCAGCGUGACCGUACUAAAACUGACACAGGUAGGUGAGGAGAAUAUCCUCAGGCGCUCGAGAAAACCGUCCUUAAGGAACUCGGCAAAUUGACCCCGUAAGUUCGCGAUAAGGGGUCCCUCCAGAUGCUUUUAUUUCGAUAGAGGCAUGCUGAGGGCGCAGUGAAGUGGCUCUGGCGACUGUUUAUCAAAAACACAGUUCUCUGCUAACACGAAAAGUGGAUGUAUAGAGAAUGACGCCUGCUCGGUGCCGGAAGGUUAAGGGGAUGGGUCAGCUCCCUUCGGGGGGCGAAGCUCCUAACUGAAGCCCCGGUAAACGGCGGCCGUAACUAUGACGGUCCUAAGGUAGCGAAGUUCCUUGUCGGGUAAGUUCCGACGUGCAUGAACGGCGUAACGACUGGAGCACUGUCUCAAGGACGGACUCGGUGAAAUUGUAGUUGUGGUGAAGAUACCACGUACCCGCGGCAAGACGGAAAGACCCCGUGAACCUUUACUGUAGCCUGGUAUUGACGCCUGGCAUAUCAUGCGUAGGAUAGGUGGGAGGCUGUGAAGCGGUGCUUUCGGGCAUCGUGGAGCCGUCGUUGAAAUACCACCCUUGCUAUGUUAGUCGCCUAACCAUGACCCGUGAAUCCGGGCAUGGGACCGUGCUAGGUGGGCAGUUUGACUGGGGCGGUCUCCUCCAAAAGCGUAACGGAGGAGUUCAAAGGUACCCUCAGCGUGGUUGGCAAUCACGCAUAGAGCGCAAAGGUAGAAGGGUGCUUAACUGUGAGACUGAUAGGUCGAGCAGAUGCGAAAGCAGGACUUAGUGAUCCGGUGGUUCCGAGUGGAAGGGCCAUCGCUCAUCAGAUAAAAGGUACUCCGGGGAUAACAGGCUGAUCGCCUCCGAGCGUUCAUAGCGGCGAGGCGGUUUGGCACCUCGAUGUCGGCUCAUCACAUCCUGGGGCUGAAGGUGGUCCCAAGGGUUUGGCUGUUCGCCAAUUAAAGUGGUACGCGAGCUGGGUUCAGACCGGCGUGAGCCAGGUCGGUCCCUAUCUGCCGUGGGCGCAGGAAUCUUGAAGGGAUGUUUCCUUAGUACGAGAGGAUUGGGAAGCACUGACCUCUGGUGUACCAGUUGUCGCGCUAGCGGCACCGCUGGGUAGCUAAGUCGGGACAGGAUAACCGCUGAAAGCAUCUAAGCGGGAAGCCCCCCCUGAGACGAGGAUUCCAUGGACUUCGGUCCUGAAGAGCCCUGGAAGACGACCAGGUUGAUAGGCCGGGUGUGUAAGCGGCGAAAUCCGCUCAGCUAACCGGUACUAACGCUCGACGACUUGACC
This 2997-nucleotide ribosomal RNA is filed under the name sediment metagenome. RNAcentral's name for it is "bacterial LSU rRNA". It matches the Rfam family "Bacterial large subunit ribosomal RNA". The record is from RNAcentral.